GCAAUAGUAGCUCAACCUUAAAGCCUCGGUCUUGUAAACCGGACAUCGAGGGUUAAAAUCCCUCCUCUUGCU
RNAcentral lists this transfer RNA (72 nucleotides) under Paraliparis dipterus. RNAcentral's name for it is "tRNA-Thr". It matches the Rfam family "tRNA". From Rfam's summary of the family: Transfer RNA (tRNA) molecules are approximately 80 nucleotides in length. Their secondary structure includes four short double-helical elements and three loops (D, anti-codon, and T loops). Further hydrogen bonds mediate the characteristic L-shaped molecular structure. tRNAs have two regions of fundamental functional importance: the anti-codon, which is responsible for specific mRNA codon recognition, and the 3' end, to which the tRNAs corresponding amino acid is attached (by aminoacyl-tRNA synthetases). tRNAs cope with the degeneracy of the genetic code in two manners: having more than one tRNA (with a specific anti-codon) for a particular amino acid; and 'wobble' base-pairing, i.e. permitting non-standard base-pairing at the 3rd anti-codon position. The record is from RNAcentral. Lineage: Eukaryota; Metazoa; Chordata; Actinopteri; Perciformes; Liparidae.